This 491-nucleotide ribosomal RNA is filed under the name uncultured bacterium. RNAcentral's name for it is "bacterial SSU rRNA". It matches the Rfam family "Bacterial small subunit ribosomal RNA", at positions 9 to 493 of the family's 1533-position model. The record is from RNAcentral.
GAGUUUGAUCUUGGCUCAGAUUGAACGCUGGCGGCAGGCCUAACACAUGCAAGUCGGGCGGUAGAGAGAAGCUUGCUUCUCUUGAGAGCGGCGGACGGGUGAGUAAUGCCUAGGAAUCUGCCUGGUAGUGGGGGAUAACGCUCGGAAACGGACGCUAAUACCGCAUACGUCCUACGGGAGAAAGCAGGGGACCUUCGGGCCUUGCGCUAUCAGAUGAGCCUAGGUCGGAUUAGCUAGUUGGUGAGGUAAUGGCUCACCAAGGCGACGAUCCGUAACUGGUCUGAGAGGAUGAUCAGUCACACUGGAACUGAGACACGGUCCAGACUCCUACGGGAGGCAGCAGUGGGGAAUAUUGGACAAUGGGCGAAAGCCUGAUCCAGCCAUGCCGCGUGUGUGAAGAAGGUCUUCGGAUUGUAAAGCACUUUAAGUUGGGAGGAAGGGCAGUAAAUUAAUAACUUUGUCUGUUUUGACGUUACCGACAGAAUAAGCAC